Molecule: unclassified non-coding RNA, 520 nt
Filed under: uncultured Entrophospora
Lineage: Eukaryota; Fungi; Glomeromycota; Glomeromycetes; Entrophosporales; Entrophosporaceae
Description: SSU rRNA
Rfam family: Eukaryotic small subunit ribosomal RNA
Source: RNAcentral
AGCAGCCGCGGUAAUUCCAGCUCCAAUAGCGUAUAUUAAAGUUGUUGCAGUUAAAAGCUCGUAGUUGAAUUUCGGGAUUGGCGCAUCGGUCGUGCCUCACGGGGUAUGAACUGGUGCAGUCAAUUUCUCACCUUCUGGAGAACCGCGAUGUCCUUAAUUGGAUGCCGCGGGGAACCAGGACCUUUACUUUGAAAAAUUAGAGUGUUUAAAGCAGGCAUUUUUGCUUGAAUACAUUAGCAUGGAAUAAUAAAAUAGGACGGCAUGGUUCUAUUUUGUUGGUUUCUAGGACCACCGUAAUGAUUAAUAGGGAUAGUUGGGGGCAUUAGUAUUCAAUUGUCAGAGGUGAAAUUCUUGGAUUUAUUGAAGACUAACUACUGCGAAAGCAUUUGCCAAGGAUGUUUUCAUUAAUCAAGAACGAAAGUUAGGGGAUCGAAGACGAUCAGAUACCGUCGUAGUCUUAACCAUAAACUAUGCCGACUAGGAAUCAGACGAUGUUAAUUUUUAAUGUACUCGUUUGGCU